GCGCACGGGUGAGUAACACGUGGAUAACCUGCCCUAGAGUCUGGGAUAACACUUCGAAAGGGGUGCUAAUACCGGAUAAGCCUACGCUCUCUUCGGAGGAAGUAGGAAAAGAUUUAUUGCUCUAGGAUGGGUCCGCGGUCCAUUAGCUAGUUGGUGGGGUAAUGGCCUACCAAGGCGACGAUGGAUAGCUGGUCUGAGAGGAUGAUCAGCCACACUGGAACUGAGACACGGUCCAGACUCC
RNAcentral lists this ribosomal RNA (241 nucleotides) under uncultured bacterium. Its description in RNAcentral is "partial 16S ribosomal RNA". It matches the Rfam family "Bacterial small subunit ribosomal RNA", at positions 98 to 339 of the family's 1533-position model. The record is from RNAcentral.